This is a long non-coding RNA of Schistocerca cancellata (South American locust), 3546 nucleotides long. RefSeq lists it as uncharacterized. The record is from RefSeq and is a predicted model, not a curated record. Lineage: Eukaryota; Metazoa; Arthropoda; Insecta; Orthoptera; Acrididae. The transcript has 3 exons.
GUAGGGCGCAAGUGCACAGUGCAGCAUCGUACGCGCUAAUGUUUCGUUUAAAUCCCCUAAAUCUCAAGUAAUACAUUGAUUUUUGUGUUUAUUGUGAACUUUAGUCUAGCAUGCGGAUUAAAAUCAUCCGACAGAGUGUGUAACUUUAUGUAGUACAGUGAAAUUCUUGAUAAUAUAUGUCUCUCGCAAGCUACGUGAUUUUCUUCGCAUAGGUGGCGCUAAAUAACAUGAAACAGGGAAGGUGAUAGCGGUGUGUGUUCCCUAUGCCUAUAUUUCAAAACGUUUUUUCGUGAAGUAUAUGAAAUAGGCACUUGAAUUUUAAUGUUUCGAAUGCAAAAAGAGGUCACUUAAUUACCCAGCCUUUUGCAGCAGAACAGAACCAGUGACAGUUAGUAAAUGAUAGUGUUCUUGUCUAUGUCCCCUUAAGAGCAACGCUUUGUCUCACACACUUGUGACAAUAGCUGAGCAGGGGUCGCUUAACAGCUUGGUGUCUAUGCUAAUGACUGACAGGGGAGAUGGCAGCACGUGAAAAAAAGCCAGCUGCAAGCAAACAGUUGGGAAACCGUAGAGAUGCUGACAGUAGCAAAACUUCGUUGACAGUUUCGACUAUAAAGAAAUUUAAUAGUUUGGCUGAUGCAAAGAAGGAUCUGCUGAAGCUAUCGGAGGAUGUAGCUUCAGCCACAAAGAAACCAAUACCUGGAGUAAGCAUGUCAUUAUUGUGAAUAACUCUUGCAGAUUUAUGUUUUGGUAUCUUACAUAGCUAAGCUUAAGUAUAUAAAACAAGUCAAAAUGCACAUCCCGUAAUGCAAGAAGUGGAAAAGUUUCUGAAAUCUGUUUUUUUUUUCUUCACUCAAAAACUUGUCAUUUGCAAUAAAGCUCUGUGGAGACUUUCCUGGGUUCCUGAUUAGUUAUAAGUACAUUUAUUUUGUUAAUUACUAGAAAUUGCAGAUUUAUGCACUGAAAAAAGUUUAGCUAAUAAUCUUCUGUUUCAUUGGACGUCUUACGUCAUCACCAUCUCCUCCUGCACGUUUUAGGCUUUGCCUGUUACUACAUCGACUUAGAGAGAUUAGUCCAAGUCCUUCCAUCUGGCUUUGGGUCUCUUCAUCCUGUCGGUUUGUAUUUGUAAAGUAUUUUUUGAAGUCUGUCAUGUAUGUUGCUACAUGCCUGAAAAGUCUCAUUUCCAUACUCCGGAUUUUUAGUGGUCCUUUUUUUUUUGUUGUUGUUGUUUAGUUUUCGCUUCUGUACAUUACAACUAGGAAUGACUGUGUUUCGUAAAAUUUCAGAAUUCUCUCUUUUCUUACUUUUCUUUGCAAGGUUCAUGUAGUACUACCAUUAAGUUAAAACUUUUUCUAUCUUAUGUUCAAAAAAAUUUCAUCUUUAUGUGAUACAUUGCAUCCCAAGUGUUUAAAUUUACUUGCUGUCCUAUUUUCCCAUUUGGAUGUAAUUUUGUUUCUUCUAUAAAAACUAUUGCCUUUUUUUUUUUUUUUUUUUAAAUCAGGUGUCUGUAAGUUGCAUGAAGAUCAGAUCCUUUGUAGUUAAGAUACUGCUCUUAGUAGGUUAUUCUCACUGUUAGUAAUUAUUAUUCAGUCAUCUGCUGAUGACAUAUGACAUUGUCAGUAUGUAGUCUGGUUGUUCAAAGUUGAAAGAGUAAGACCUUAGUUCAUUUAUCCUUUUCAAAAACAUUUGCUUUAUGUAGAUCUUAAUUAAAAAGCAUGGGUGGUAAACUGCAUCCUCAGUAAACCUAGGUUCAUACUCUCUCUGUUUUGAUUAUUUUUGCCUGCAAUAGAUAUCUGACUCUUCAUACAUACUUUUUAUAACAUUUAAUAAAUAAUAAUAAUAAAGUUGUUAAGUUCCUGGAAGAGCAUGCGUCUUUUAAUGUGUCUUACUAUUUUCCAAAAGAUUACAUACUGACACGAUUGAUACAAAAGUGCCCAAGCAGUAUUUGUAUAGGUACUGAUUUUUUGGAAAAAAAAAGAGACUCCCAGGAGAACAUCUUGAUAAUCUAGCAAACUUUUUAGACUGUGAUGUUUUUAAUUACUUAAGAGAUAACUGUUGUAUCUUACUUUAUUAAUGUAACUCCAUUUUAGAACACAUGGGGGUGGCAGAGACUAAAUGUCAAAAGAAUGUAGUAAGGGACGAGUGAGAUAAGGAGAGAAACAAUACAAAUUGCCUAAGGAAAAAUACUGAUAGCUGCAUAAGAUGAACUUCAUCUCACUCUUACAAUAUUUACUUAGCUCCUUAGGUGGUAUUAUUCUGCAACAUAUUUGAAUUUAAUCAGUUAAAGAAUUGUACGAACAUAAUUUGUAGUUUGGCAUUGGUAGAAAGUGGGAGAAAAAAUAUGCAAGCAGAUGGUGAAAGGUUGUUCUAGGCAAUGCUAAUCAGAGGUAUUGUCUAAGUUUUGAAAAGUCUGAAAGCCUGUGUGGCAGUGGAGUUUUUGAGGAAGAAAACAAAAACUUAAUGAAACAAAUACGUGAUAGGUAGCAAAAGACAGAAAACAGUGAGGAGAAAUUGGCAAAUAAGAAUAAUUGAGGGAGCAAAUGCCUGAGAUGAGGGGAUGUGUUGAAAGGCAGAACACACAGAAACAGAAUGAAACACAACAAAGGGCAAGGGGGAUGAAAUUGGAAGGAAAUAACAAAGUUAAAUGGUACAGUUACAGUUAAUACUUGAGAAGUUGGAAUAAUAUAGAAAGAUUAUAAGAUAUAUCGGAAAAUUACUAAGAAAAUAGUGAAAAUGAAAUUUAAUCAGAUGAAAAGUUAGUCAGUAACACCCAGAGAGAUAAGUAGGCAGGUGGCACAGAAAACAAUAGAGAAUGAUAAGUUAAUAUUUGGUGCUCUAUUUGUAUCCUAUUUAAGUAAUUUUAUGAUGCAUUGAUUCAAAGUUGUGAAGCUCUCUUUAAUAUCUAGUGAAAAGUAUAAUUUCGAUCAGAAAUAAACUGGUAUUCAUCACAUUUCUUUAUAUCUUUCACAUCCACUUUUUUUUUUUUAAGUUAAUGCACAGUUUGCUAUGGAAUAUGUAAGUAUAAAAGCAAUUUAAAAAUGGUGUAGAGUACUGAGCUGUCGUUAGCUUACUUGCCGAUUAAACAUUAGUGUUGACUUUGACCCGUAGAGUUUGAGUAGGAGUGUAAAAUAUUUGCUGUUAAAGUAUGCUAUCUCAAUAAAGGUCUUCAGUAGUUGACUGAAGGCCUGAUGAUGAAGAUGUACUUUGGAAUUUGAAAUUAUUAGUAAAAUAUAAUAUUGUAUGCCAGGAAAUAUAGUUGUCAUUCUAAGCUUUUGAUUCUACAGUGUACGUACAUAGUUUUGGCAGCACAGAUUUGAUGUAAAUUGUAUCAAAAGGAAAAUUCAACCAAGAAAGCUGUUAAAUUACAUUUGAUUGUGGCUGAACAGUACGCAUCUGAAUGAGGUGAAAUUCCUAGUUCUACUGACAGGAACACUUAAAUGAACAUCCAUUCAUUUAUAUUUGUUCACCAUUCUUCUUUCUUGUCUAAUUACAUUAUACUUCAUGUGUGUUAUAAAUUUUAAUUAAUUGUUAUAUAACCACUAAUUAAGA